This 328-nucleotide ribosomal RNA is filed under the name uncultured bacterium. RNAcentral describes it as "bacterial SSU rRNA". It matches the Rfam family "Bacterial small subunit ribosomal RNA", at positions 467 to 793 of the family's 1533-position model. The record is from RNAcentral.
AUUUGACGUUAGCGACAGAAGAAGCACCGGCUAACUCCGUGCCAGCAGCCGCGGUAAUACGGAGGGUGCGAGCGUUAAUCGGAAUUACUGGGCGUAAAGCGCAUGCAGGCGGCCUGUUAAGUCAGAUGUGAAAGCCCGGGGCUUAACCUCGGAAUUGCAUUUGAAACUGGCAGGCUAGAGUCUUGUAGAGGGGGGUAGGAAUUUCAGGUGUAGCGGUGAAAUGCGUAGAGAUCUGAAGGAAUACCAGUGGCGAAGGCGGCCCCCUGGACAAAGACUGACGCUCAGAUGCGAAAGCGUGGGGAGCAAACAGGAUUAGAUACCCUGGUAG